UUCUCUCUCUCUCCCUCCCUCCCUCUCUCUCUAUCUAUCACACACACACACAGAGAGAGAGAGAGAGAGAGAGAGAGAGAGAGAGAGAGAGAG
This 93-nucleotide microRNA precursor is filed under the name Podarcis lilfordi (Lilford's wall lizard). The record is from RNAcentral. Lineage: Eukaryota; Metazoa; Chordata; Lepidosauria; Squamata; Lacertidae.